RNAcentral lists this ribosomal RNA (301 nucleotides) under uncultured bacterium. Its description in RNAcentral is "partial 16S ribosomal RNA". It matches the Rfam family "Bacterial small subunit ribosomal RNA", at positions 509 to 809 of the family's 1533-position model. The record is from RNAcentral.
CAGUCGCCGCGGUAAUACGUAGGGUGCAAGCGUUAAUCGGAAUUACUGGGCGUAAAGCGUGCGCAGGCGGUUUGUUAAGACAGAUGUGAAAUCCCCGGGCUCAACCUGGGAACUGCAUUUGUGACUGGCAAGCUAGAGUGUGGCAGAGGGGGGUGGAAUUCCGCGUGUAGCAGUGAAAUGCGUAGAUAUGCGGAGGAACACCGAUGGCGAAGGCAGCCCCCUGGGCCAACACUGACGCUCAUGCACGAAAGCGUGGGGAGCAAACAGGAUUAGAUACCCCUGUAGUCCCUGUCUCUUAUAA